GGAUAACCUGCCCUUGGGACUGGCAUAACCCCGGGAAACUGGGGAUAAUUCCGGAUAACGCAUAUGUGCUGGAAUGCUUUAUGCGUAAAAUGGAUUCGUCCGCCCAAGGAUGGGUCUGCGGCCUAUCAGGUAGUAGUGGGUGUAAUGUACCUACUAGCCAGCGACGGGUACGGGUUGUGAGAGCAAGAGCCCGGAGAUGGAUUCUGAGACAUGAAUCCAGGCCCUACGGGGCGCAGCAGGCGCGAAAACUUUACAAUGCGGGAAACCGUGAUAAGGGGACACCGAGUGUCAGCAUCAUAUGCUGGCUGUCCAGGUGUGUAAAAUACACCUGUUAGCAAGGGCCGGGCAAGACCGGUGCCAGCCGCCGCGGUAACACCGGCGGCCCGAGUGGUGAUCGUGAUUAUUGGGUCUAAAGGGUCCGUAGCCGGUUUGGUCAGUCCUCCGGGAAAUCUGAUGGCUCAACCAUUAGGCUUUCGGGGGAUACUGCCAGGCUUGGAACCGGGAGAGGUAAGAGGUACUACAGGGGUAGGAGUGAAAUCUUGUAAUCCCUGUGGGACCACCUGUGGCGAAGGCGUCUUACCAGAACGGGUUCGACGGUGAGGGACGAAAGCUGGGGGCACGAACCGGAUUAGAUACCCGGGUAGUCCCAGCCGUAAACGAUGCAGACUCGGUGAUGGGUUGGCCUCGAGCCAACCCAGUGCCGCAGGGAAGCCGUUAAGUCUGCCACCUGGGAAGUACGGCCGCAAGGCUGAAACUUAA
This 759-nucleotide ribosomal RNA is filed under the name uncultured archaeon. Its description in RNAcentral is "bacterial SSU rRNA". It matches the Rfam family "Archaeal small subunit ribosomal RNA", at positions 102 to 859 of the family's 1478-position model. The record is from RNAcentral.